GUAAACGCGCUCGCUGUAAGCGUAAAGGGCGGAGUUUUAUGCGUAAAUGGGACGGAGGACAUGAUUUACUCUUAUAUCCUGACGCAUACGAUUUCGUCUUGACGGAUAAACUGAAGCUCUGCGUUGGAGUAUUAGCUCUUUACGCCUAUAUUGACGCAUAUUGUUUUUCAAUUGUUAUACGGGCCCUGCCUUCUGAGAACACGUGCAUGGUUCCGUGUGGAAAGCGUCCUUCCUUUCGCUUGGUUAACGGUCACUCUGGCUUCUGGCGUCUCAUAUUAUCCAUUUACGCUUAUAUUGACGCUUAUUGUUUUUCAAUUGUUAUACGGGCCCUGCCUUCUGAGAACACGUGCAUGGUUCCGUGUGCAAAGCGUCUUUUCUUUCGCUUCGUUAACGGUCACUCUGGCUUCUGGCGUCUCACGGUCUCACAUCAUGCACGGUCUAACAAAUGAAGAGAUGGCAUCGAACGAGACAACGUCGCACGAUAUGUGGGCAAGGCACGCGGACGACGCUACUUGAAAAGUUGUGAUUCUCCAGGCUAUCUCCGCGCUACAAAUUCGUAUGCGUACGCCCAUUGUACACCAGCAUCCCAAGGAACAGGACACGACAUGCUCUUCGUAGCCAUGCUGGACUGCAUAAUACCACGCAUGCACCCUCAACUGCGUUAGGUGGUGCUCCUAAAAUUUCUACUGUGCGACACAUUCUGGGAAGAAAUACACAAGACGCUACUCCCUCACGCAUGUACAACCAGUACAACUCACCUGUAAAGAUGACUUGUAAGUUGUGACUGCUUCAUGAGUAAUGAUGCAUUGCUCGAUAAAUGCAACGUCUGCAAUACACUGAACUAUAGGGUGUUCAAAAUUAAGCUUUCACGAGCGCUACGCAAACACAGCGAUGACAGGAAACCGGAUGAUAACUUUACGCUACUUGUGUAAGAAACAGCUGGUGCUAAUUAUGUAGAACCUGUUUCUUACUCAAGGAACAGAAAAAUAGCAGCCAGUUUUCUUUUGUUCGCCUAUUUAUAAAGUGCUAGUGAAAGCUUAAUUUUGAACACCCUGUAUACUUCAGUUAUUAUACGGUGAUUUCACGCCGGAUCAUGCACGGUGGUGAAUUUUUUUUCUUUCAAACAUAUAUUAAAACCUCGUCCUUAGGAGGCAUAUUGGCGCUGAAAG
This is a long non-coding RNA of Ornithodoros turicata, 1169 nucleotides long. RefSeq lists it as uncharacterized. NCBI's taxonomy places the organism in Eukaryota, Metazoa, Arthropoda, Arachnida, Ixodida, Argasidae. The transcript has 3 exons. The record is from RefSeq and is a predicted model, not a curated record.